Molecule: ribosomal RNA, 468 nt
Filed under: uncultured bacterium
Lineage: Bacteria
Description: partial 16S ribosomal RNA
Rfam family: Bacterial small subunit ribosomal RNA
Source: RNAcentral
GACGAACGCUGGCGGCGUGCUUAACACAUGCAAGUCGAACGGAAAGGCCCUGCUUUUGUGGGGUGCUCGAGUGGCGAACGGGUGAGUAACACGUGAGUAACCUGCCCUUGACUUUGGGAUAACUUCAGGAAACUGGGGCUAAUACCGGAUAGGAGCUCCUGCUGCAUGGUGGGGGUUGGAAAGUUUCGGCGGUUGGGGAUGGACUCGCGGCUUAUCAGCUUGUUGGUGGGGUAGUGGCUUACCAAGGCUUUGGCGGGUAGCCGGCCUGGGAAGGUGACCGGCCCACAUGGGACUAAGGUACGGACCAGAAUCCUACGGGAGGCAGCAGUGGGGAAUAUUGCACAAUGGGCGGAAGCCUGAUGCAGCAACGCCGCGUGCGGGAUGACGGCCUUCGGGUUGUAAACCGCUUUCGCCUGUGACGAAGCGUGAGUGACGGUAAUGGGUAAAGAAGCACCGGCUAACUACGUG